GACGAACGCUGGCGGCGUGCUUAACACAUGCAAGUCGAACGGAAAGGCCCUGCUUUUGUUGGGUGCUCGAGUGGCGAACGGGUGAGUAACACGUUAGUAACCUGCCCUUGACUUUGUUAUAACUUCAGGAAACUGGGGCUAAUACCGGAUAGGAGCUCCUGCUGCAUGGUGGGGGUUGGAAAGUUUCGGCGGUUGGGGAUGGACUCGCGGCUUAUCAGCUUGUUGGUGGGGUAGUGGCUUACCAAGGCUUUGACGGGUAGCCGGCCUGAGAGGGUGACCGGCCACAGUGGGAAAGAGAUACGGCCCAGAGUCCUAAGGGAGGCAGCAGUGGGGAAUAAUGCACGAUGGGCGGAAGCCGGAUGCAGCAACGCCGCGUGAGGGAUGACGGACUUCGGGUUGUAAACCGCUUACGCAGGGGACGAAGCGUGAGUGAAGGUAAUGUGUAAAGAAGCACCGGCUAACUACGUG
RNAcentral lists this ribosomal RNA (468 nucleotides) under uncultured bacterium. RNAcentral's name for it is "partial 16S ribosomal RNA". It matches the Rfam family "Bacterial small subunit ribosomal RNA", at positions 28 to 507 of the family's 1533-position model. The record is from RNAcentral.